AGUGAACGCUGGCGGCGUGCUUAACACAUGCAAGUCGCACGAGAACGCUUCUGCUUGCAGAGGCAAGUAAAGUGGCGCACGGGUGAGUAACACGUGGGUAAUCUACCUCCGAAUUGGGGAUAACGUUGCGAAAGCGACGCUAAUACCGAAUGAUAUCCAGGGAUUCUCGAAUCCCUGGAUCAAAGGUGGCCUCUUCAUGAAAGCUAUCGUUUGGAGAUGAGCCCGCGUCCCAUUAGCUUGUUGGUAGGGUAACGGCCUACCAAGGCUUCGAUGGGUAGCUGGUCUGAGAGGAUGAUCAGCCACACUGGAACUGACACACGGUCCAGACUCCUACGGGAGGCAGCAGUGAGGAAUUUUGCGCAAUGGGGGAAACCCUGACGCAGCAACGCCGCGUGAGUGAUGAAGGCCUUCGGGUCGUAAAGCUCUGUCAAGUGGGAAGAACCUGUAAAUGGUCAAUACCCGUUUACACUGACGGUACCACUGAAGGAAGCACCGGCUAACUCCGUG
This 507-nucleotide ribosomal RNA is filed under the name uncultured organism. RNAcentral describes it as "bacterial SSU rRNA". It matches the Rfam family "Bacterial small subunit ribosomal RNA", at positions 29 to 507 of the family's 1533-position model. The record is from RNAcentral.